CUUGGGAAGGGCCAUAGCGCAGUGGUAGAACAUCUGCUUUGCAUGCAAAAGGUCCUGGGUUCAAACCCCAGUAUUUCAAGG
Molecule: non-coding RNA, 81 nt
Organism: Podarcis lilfordi (Lilford's wall lizard)
Lineage: Eukaryota; Metazoa; Chordata; Lepidosauria; Squamata; Lacertidae
Source: the annotation of a GenBank genome assembly